AGGAUGAACGCUAGUCGUGUGCUUUACACAUGCGAGUUGAAUGGAGUAAUACGAAGAAAAAAACCUUUCAUUCUGGUCAAUCGUAAGGAAGCCAAAUAGAUGUUGAAACUUAUUUUCAGAAUAGAGCCGUCUUCGUAGGAUUAGGUUGUUGGUAGGGUAAAAGCCUACCAAGCCGAUGAUCCUUAGUUGGUCUGCAAGGAUGAUCAGCCACACUGGGACUGAGACAAGGCCCAGGCUUCCGAUGAAGCCAGCAGUGAGGAAUCUUGGACAAUGAGCGAAAGCUUGAUCCAGCAACACAACGUGAGGAAUGAAGGCUUCUAUGGUGUAAAGCUCUUUCGUUCAGGAUGACAGUACUGAAAGAAGAAGUCCCGGCCAACUUCGUGCCAGCAGCCGCGGUAAUACGGAGGGGGCGAGCGUUAUCCAUCAUGAUUGGGCGUAAAGAGUCCGUAGGCGGCACUGGUGGUGGUUUGUCAAAUUCCCCAGCUUCACCGGGGCACGGCGCUCCAGACACUUGGGCUUGAGUGAGAAAGACGAUCAUGGAAUUUCCCAUGUAGGGGUGGUAUCCGAACAUAUGGGAAGGAACAUCAACGGUGAAGACAAUGAUCGAGUCUGGCACUGACGCUGAGGGACGAAAGCGUGGGGAGCAAACAGGAUUAGAGACCCUGGUAGUCCACGCUGUAAAUGAUGAGUGCUAUCACUAAGUGAUACAGCUAAGGCGUUAAGCACUCCGCC
This 732-nucleotide ribosomal RNA is filed under the name uncultured Pseudomonadota bacterium. Its description in RNAcentral is "bacterial SSU rRNA". It matches the Rfam family "Bacterial small subunit ribosomal RNA", at positions 26 to 873 of the family's 1533-position model. Lineage: Bacteria; Pseudomonadati; Pseudomonadota. The record is from RNAcentral.